GCCGAAGUGGUGGAAUUGGCAGACGCGCUGGAUUCAAAAUCCAGUGGCCUUACGGUCGUGCGGGUUCGACCCCCGCCUUCGGCACCA
RNAcentral lists this transfer RNA (87 nucleotides) under Halanaerobium salsuginis. RNAcentral's name for it is "tRNA_Leu_CAA". It matches the Rfam family "tRNA". Rfam says of the family: Transfer RNA (tRNA) molecules are approximately 80 nucleotides in length. Their secondary structure includes four short double-helical elements and three loops (D, anti-codon, and T loops). Further hydrogen bonds mediate the characteristic L-shaped molecular structure. tRNAs have two regions of fundamental functional importance: the anti-codon, which is responsible for specific mRNA codon recognition, and the 3' end, to which the tRNAs corresponding amino acid is attached (by aminoacyl-tRNA synthetases). tRNAs cope with the degeneracy of the genetic code in two manners: having more than one tRNA (with a specific anti-codon) for a particular amino acid; and 'wobble' base-pairing, i.e. permitting non-standard base-pairing at the 3rd anti-codon position. Lineage: Bacteria; Bacillati; Bacillota; Clostridia; Halanaerobiales; Halanaerobiaceae. The record is from RNAcentral.